RNAcentral lists this ribosomal RNA (406 nucleotides) under uncultured bacterium. RNAcentral describes it as "partial 16S ribosomal RNA". It matches the Rfam family "Bacterial small subunit ribosomal RNA", at positions 28 to 526 of the family's 1533-position model. The record is from RNAcentral.
GACGAACGCUGGCGGCAGGCCUAACACAUGCAAGUCGAGCGAGCGGCGGACGGGUGAGUAAUGUCUGGGAAACUGCCUGAUGGGGGGGGAUAACUACUGGAAACGGUAGCUAAUACCGCAUACCAUCAGAUGUGCCCAGGUGGGAUUAGCUAGUAGGUGGGGUAAAGGCUCACCUAGGCGACGAUCCCUAGCGGGUCUGAGAGGAUGACCAGCCACACUGGAACUGAGACACGGUCCAGACUCCUACGGGAGGCAGCAGUGGGGAAUAUUGCACAAUGGGCGCAAGCCUGAUGCAGCCAUGCCGCGUGUGUGAAGAAGGCCUUCGGGUUGUAAAGCACUUUCAGCGGGGAGGCGUUACCCGCAGAAGAAGCACCGGCUAACUCCGUGCCAGCAGCCGCGGUAAUUC